GAUGAACGCUGGCGGCGUGCCUAAUACAUGCAAGUCGAGCGAACGGACGAGAAGCUUGCUUUUCUGAUGUUAGCGGCGGACGGGUGAGUAACACGUGGAUAACCUACCUAUAAGACUGGGAUAACUUCGGAAAACCGGAGCUAAUACCGGAUAAUAUUUUGAACCGCAUGGUUCAAAAGUGAAAGACGGUCUUGCUGUCACUUAUAGAUGGAUCCGCGCUGCAUUAGCUAGUUGGUAAGGUAACGGCUUACCAAGGCAACGAUGCAUAGCCGACCUGAGAGGGUGAUCGGCCACACUGGAACUGAGACACGGUCCAGACUCCUACGGGAGGCAGCAGUAGGGAAUCUUCCGCAAUGGGCGAAAGCCUGACGGAGCAACGCCGCGUGAGUGAUGAAGGUCUUCGGAUCGUAAAACUCUGUUAUUAGGGAAGAACAUAUGUGUAAGUAACUGUGCACAUCUUGACGGUACCUAAUCAGAAAGCCACGGCUAACUACGUG
RNAcentral lists this ribosomal RNA (497 nucleotides) under uncultured bacterium. Its description in RNAcentral is "partial 16S ribosomal RNA". It matches the Rfam family "Bacterial small subunit ribosomal RNA", at positions 28 to 507 of the family's 1533-position model. The record is from RNAcentral.